RNAcentral lists this ribosomal RNA (654 nucleotides) under Triticum aestivum (bread wheat). Its description in RNAcentral is "partial small subunit ribosomal RNA". The record is from RNAcentral. Lineage: Eukaryota; Viridiplantae; Streptophyta; Magnoliopsida; Poales; Poaceae.
AUGGGGAGACGACCUGCUAGGUGCUAUCGCCAGAUAAAAAACAAGCCAUACCCCAAGUCAAGGUACUGUCGUGGUGUACCUGACCCGAAGAUCAGGAUCUAUGAUGUUGGGAUGAAGAAGAAGGGAGUGGAUGAGUUCCCCUCCUGCGUCCACCUGGUCAGCUGGGAAAAGGAGAAUGUCUCCAGCGAGGCUCUUGAGGCUGCCCGUAUUGCUUGCAACAAGUACAUGACGAAGAAUGCUGGAAAGGAUGCGUUCCACCUGAGGGUCAGGGUCCAUACAUACCAUGUCCUUCGCAUCAACAAGAUGCUUUCAUGUGCUGGGGCUGAUAGGCUCCAGACUGGAAUGAGGGGUGCUUUUGGGAAGCCUCUGGGUACCUGUGCUCGUGUGGACAUUGGCCAAGUUCUACUAUCUGUGCGCUGCAAGGAGAGCAAUGCUGUUCAUGCUGAUGAAGCCCUCCGCCGUGCCAAGUUCAAGUUCCCAGGCCGUCAAAAGAUCAUUCGCAGCAGGAAGUGGGGCUUUACCAAGUUCAACAAGGCCGAUUACAUCAAGUACAAGAGUGAGGGAAGAAUCGUGCCUGAUGGUGUCAAUGCUAAGUUGCUUGGUGUCCAUGGCCCCAUUGCUAAACGUGCCCCUGGGCAGGCGAUCCUGGCUUGA